UAUAGUUUUUUUUUCUUUUGUUCAACUGGUAGACAAAGGCAUGAAAGACAGGUGCAAAAAUAAAUCAUCUUUUGCAACUAACAACUCACUGUACAGUAUGAGUUUUGAUACAUGUAAGAAGAAGUAUA
Small nucleolar RNA from Rattus norvegicus (Norway rat), 128 nucleotides. Ensembl annotates it as small nucleolar RNA SNORA40. The record is from Ensembl. NCBI's taxonomy places the organism in Eukaryota, Metazoa, Chordata, Mammalia, Rodentia, Muridae.